CGCGUACCUAGACCAUCAUAACCCGAGGAUCACAUAGAUUAUGCAGAUGUGACUCCGGCUGUGAAGAACGCGAAAGAGCGGCCACAGUUCAAACCCGUACCGGUUGCUGUAGAAAACCCAGAAUACAUGGACUCCGCUACCAAUCAAGAGGAAGCCGAGCGAUUGCGGGCGACAGGUGGCAGCACCAGUUCGGAGGCGUCGGCUGCCGACCACGCCUACUACAACGACUUCGACAGCAUGCAGAAGCGAGACCGGCGCCUGAUCAAACCUCUCACUAAGAACGAGACGUCCGUGUGAGCUGUCGGCGCUCGUCUAACCCCCCCCCCCCGCCGCGCCAUCGCCGGCCCUGCCACGCGGAGCGCUAGACUGACGCCUGUCUCGUGCACGGUGCCAUGACGAGGUGGCUGCAAUGUAGUCCGGCACCCAUCUAGCUCG
Priapulus caudatus is the source of this 435-nucleotide long non-coding RNA. RefSeq lists it as uncharacterized. The record is from RefSeq and is a predicted model, not a curated record. Lineage: Eukaryota; Metazoa; Priapulida; Priapulimorpha; Priapulimorphida; Priapulidae. The transcript is spliced from 3 exons.